CGCCUUGCCAGCCCGCUCAGAAACUUAAAGGAAUUGACGGGGCCCGCACAAGCAGCGGAGCGUGUGGUUUAAUUCGAUGAUACGCGAAGAACCUCACCCAGGUUUGACAUGCACGUGGUACUGAUCCGAAAGGUGAUGGACCCUUCGGGGAGCGUGCACAGGUGUUGCAUGGCCGUCGUCAGCUCGUGCCGUGAGGUGUUGGGUUAAGUCCCGCAACGAGCGCAACCCCUGUCGCCAGUUGUAUUUUUCUGGCGAGACUGCCGAGAAAACCUCGGAGGAAGGAGGGGAUGAUGUCAGGUCAGCAUGGCCCUUACGCCUGGGGCUACACACACGCUACAAUGGGCAGUACAACGGGCAGCCAAGCCGCGAGGCGGAGCUAAUCCCAUCAAAGCUGUCCUCAGUUCGGAUUGCAGGCUGAAACCCGCCUGCAUGAAGCCGGAGUUGCUAGUAACCGCAGGUCAGCAUUACUGCGGUGAAUACGUUCCCGGGCCUU
RNAcentral lists this ribosomal RNA (493 nucleotides) under uncultured Chloroflexota bacterium. RNAcentral describes it as "bacterial SSU rRNA". It matches the Rfam family "Bacterial small subunit ribosomal RNA", at positions 903 to 1382 of the family's 1533-position model. The record is from RNAcentral. Lineage: Bacteria; Bacillati; Chloroflexota.